Long non-coding RNA from Oreochromis aureus, 897 nucleotides. The record is from Ensembl. Lineage: Eukaryota; Metazoa; Chordata; Actinopteri; Cichliformes; Cichlidae.
UUCUGACUGUCUGAGGCUAAAUUGAAUCGAAUCAGGACUUUGAGAACCGGAAUCGAAUGGAUGAUAGAAAUCAGUGAUGAUACCCAGCCCUAGUGAGCAGCCUAGGCCUGACAGAAGUGGAUGUAGCUGUGGGUAAUAAGAAAAGAUGAAAAACUAUUGAUAACUUUUGUGUUAAGUUAAGGACUGAUCCGUCUGAAAUUCAUAGCCAGCUCUGACACGGUGCCAUCAAUCUUUGAAUGCUGAAAAAACAGCAGUGUAUCCAGAAAACACAGUAUAUGCUGCAAUAAAUGCACUGCCCAAGUGUCCCCUCUCCCCACUGCCUUUCAGCAGCAGCAAACAGGUCAUCAGAGGAGGACGAGAUAAUGAUUAAGUUUAACAUUUUCUACAAUAUUGACAAAGCAAUUUAUGCACAAGUUUGUUAGUUAAUAAUUUAGAAAUGAAUAUUGUCUGUAUGGACUUCCCGCCAAAGAAAGUGCACAUGUAAAACUGCGGUGUUAAGCGAUGCGGUUGAAAAAUUUGAGUGCGCCUAACUUUUGUGCCGGUGUUCUGGGAAUUUCUCCUACCCCGUAAACCGUCCUACCCGUUGUUCCUGAGCAUAUGUGCGCAUGCACACAACACAAAAAGGGAAGCAAAGUGCAUCCGGCUGUGAUUUAAUGCUACUCCGUUGUCAUAUUUGCAGGAAAAUAGCUUCGGUGAAGUCUGCUGUCAAGUUACUGGACACGUGGUAUUUGCACAACACUUCUGAAUCCGCAGCUUCGGUGUUUUAAGGCUGUUUCGAUAUGGAGAAGAAGUGGGAAGAGAUUUACGCGUUCAUUUCUGCGGGCUCCUACCCUUCAGGAUAUGACAAGGCUCAAAGGCAAAACCUCAGAAGAUAUGCCUCAAAAUUCAAACAAAAGG